GAUGAACGCUAGCGGGAGGCCUAACACAUGCAAGCCGAGCGGUAGAGUUUCUUCGGAAACUUGAGAGCGGCGCACGGGUGCGUAACACGUGUGCAACCUACCUUUAUCUGGGGGAUAGCCUUUCGAAAGGAAGAUUAAUACCCCAUAAUAUAAUGAUUGGCAUCAAUUAUUAUUGAAAACUCCGGUGGAUAGAGGUGGGCACGCGCAAGAUUAGAUAGUUGGUGAGGUAACGGCUCACCAAGUCAAUGAUCUUUAGGGGUCCUGAGAGGGAGAUCCCCCACACUGGUACUGAGACACGGACCAGACUCCUACGGGAGGCAGCAGUGAGGAAUAUUGGACAAUGGGUGAGAGCCUGAUCCAGCCAUCCCGCGUGAAGGAUGACGGUCCUAUGGAUUGUAAACUUCUUUUGGACAGGGAUAAACCUACCCUCGUGAGGGUAGCUGAAGGUACUGUACGAAUAAGCACCGGCUAACUCCGUG
RNAcentral lists this ribosomal RNA (479 nucleotides) under uncultured bacterium. RNAcentral's name for it is "partial 16S ribosomal RNA". It matches the Rfam family "Bacterial small subunit ribosomal RNA", at positions 28 to 507 of the family's 1533-position model. The record is from RNAcentral.